RNAcentral lists this ribosomal RNA (468 nucleotides) under uncultured bacterium. RNAcentral describes it as "partial 16S ribosomal RNA". It matches the Rfam family "Bacterial small subunit ribosomal RNA", at positions 28 to 507 of the family's 1533-position model. The record is from RNAcentral.
GAUGAACGCUGGCGGCGUGCUUAACACAUGCGAGUCGAACGGAAAGGCCCUGCUUUUGUGGGGUGCUCGAGUGGCGAACGGGUGAGUAACACGUGAGUAACCUGCCCUUGACUUUGGGAUAACUUCAGGAAACUGGGGCUAAUACCGGAUAGGAGCUCCUGCUGCAUGGUGGGGGUUGGAAAGUUUCGGCGGUUGGGGAUGGACUCGCGGCUUAUCAGCUUGUUGGUGGGGUAGUGGCUUACCAAGGCUUUGACGGGUAGCCGGCCUGAGAGGGUGACCGGCCACAUUGGGACUGAGAUACGGCCCAGACUCCUACGGGAGGCAGCAGUGGGGAAUAUUGCACAAUGGGCGGAAGCCUGAUGCAGCAACGCCGCGUGCGGGAUGACGGCCUUCGGGUUGUAAACCGCUUUCGCCUGUGACGAGGCGUGAGUGACGGUAAUGGGUAAAGAAGCACCGGCUAACUACGUG